Molecule: ribosomal RNA, 248 nt
Filed under: uncultured bacterium
Lineage: Bacteria
Description: partial 16S ribosomal RNA
Rfam family: Bacterial small subunit ribosomal RNA
Source: RNAcentral
UACGUAGGGGGCAAGCGUUGUCCGGAUUUACUGGGCGUAAAGAGCGCGUAGGCGGAAUGGUAAGCGGGGCCGGAAAGCCCCCGGCUCAACCGGGGAAGGGGCCGCGAACUGCCAUUCUUGAGGGGGAGAGAGGAGAGCGGAAUUCCUGGUGUAGCGGUGAAAAUGCGUAGAGAUCAGGAGGAACACCGGUGGCGAAGGCGGCGACCUGGUUCGAUACUGACACUGAGGCGCGAAGACCAGGGAGCAAA